GACGAACGCUGGCGGCGUGCUUAACACAUGCAAGUCGAACGGAAAGGCCCUGCUUUUGUGGGGUGCUCGAGUGGCGAACGGGUGAGUAACACGUGAGUAACCUGCCCUUGACUUUGGGAUAACUUCAGGAAACUGGGGCUAAUACCGGAUAGGAGCUCCUGCUGCAUGGUGGGGGUUGGAAAGUUUCGGCGGUUGGGGAUGGACUCGCGGCUUAUCAGCUUGUUGGUGGGGUAGUGGCUUACCAAGGCGUUGACGGGUAGCCGGCCUGAGAGGGUGACCGGCCACAUUGGGACUGAGAUACGGCCCAGACUCCUACGGGAGGCAGCAGGGGGGAAUAUUGCACAAUGGGCGGAAGCCUGAUGCAGCAACGCCGCGUGCGGGAUGACGGCCUUCGGGUUGUAAACCGCUUUCGCCUGUGACGAAGCGUGAGUGACGGUAAUGGGUAAAGAAGCACCGGCUAACUACGUG
Molecule: ribosomal RNA, 468 nt
Filed under: uncultured bacterium
Lineage: Bacteria
Description: partial 16S ribosomal RNA
Rfam family: Bacterial small subunit ribosomal RNA
Source: RNAcentral